Molecule: unclassified non-coding RNA, 238 nt
Filed under: Hevea brasiliensis (rubber tree)
Lineage: Eukaryota; Viridiplantae; Streptophyta; Magnoliopsida; Malpighiales; Euphorbiaceae
Source: RNAcentral
AAAUUAAAAAAAAAAAAAAAAAGCCUAAUAUAGCCAUCUGAGCUUGUCCCUCAAAAUAUUAUUCAAUAUUUACUAUGCCAAUAAAUCUGUCUGUGAGAAUCUAACCAAACAACAAAUAAGCCUGAACAAGAGAAGGCUAGGCCCAAAAAGAGGCUAGCGUAAUAAAAAUGGCAUUUAAAUCUUGUACCAUUUUAACUAACAUUUUUCACUCAAUGAAAUCUUCUAGGAAGGCAAUGGG